RNAcentral lists this unclassified non-coding RNA (343 nucleotides) under soil metagenome. Its description in RNAcentral is "partial contains 5.8S ribosomal RNA, internal transcribed spacer 2, and large subunit ribosomal RNA". The stretch from base 1 to 120 matches the Rfam family "5.8S ribosomal RNA", at positions 35 to 154 of the family's 154-position model. The record is from RNAcentral.
GAUGAAGAACGUAGCGAAACGCGAUAAGUAAUGUGAAUUGCAGAAUCCAGUGAAUCAUCGAAUCUUUGAACGCACAUUGCGCCCGCCAGCAUUCUGGCGGGCAUGCCUGUUCGAGCGUCAUUUCAACCCUCGACCUCCCCUUGGGGAGGUCGGCGUUGGGGACCGGCAGCACACCGCCGGCCCUGAAAUGGAGUGGCGGCCCGUCCGCGGCGACCUCUGCGCAGUAAUACAGCUCGCACCGGGACCCCGACGCGGCCACGCCGUAAAACACCCAACUUCUGAACGUUGACCUCGAAUCAGGUAGGACUACCCGCUGAACUUAAGCAUCUCAAUAAGCGGAGGA